UACAGAGGGGGCAAGCGUAAUCGGAUUUACUGGGCGUAAAGCGCGCGUAGGCGGCUAAUUAAGUCAAAUGUGAAAUCCCCGAGCUUAACUUGGGAAUUGCAUUCGAUACUGGUUAGCUAGAGUGUGGGAGAGGAUGGUAGAAUUCCAGGUGUAGCGGUGAAAUGCGUAGAGAUCUGGAGGAAUACCGAUGGCGAAGGCAGCCAUCUGGCCUAACACUGACGCUGAGGUGCGAAAGCAUGGGGAGCAAACAGG
Molecule: ribosomal RNA, 252 nt
Filed under: uncultured bacterium
Lineage: Bacteria
Description: partial 16S ribosomal RNA
Rfam family: Bacterial small subunit ribosomal RNA
Source: RNAcentral